UCUUUGCCUUAUCUCCAAAUUCAAAGUGG
RNAcentral lists this small RNA (29 nucleotides) under Bombyx mori (domestic silkworm). Its description in RNAcentral is "ovarian small RNA-30272". Lineage: Eukaryota; Metazoa; Arthropoda; Insecta; Lepidoptera; Bombycidae. The record is from RNAcentral.